GUUCUGCACUCUGCCCUGUAUGGCUUUAGGAUGUAGUUGCUUGCUGUUGCUGAUGCAGCCUGGACCCUUACUGAAAGGGAAAUAACCAAGUGGUGUCCUUGUCUUAGGGUGGAUCAAGUUUCUCAGGCAGCAGCAGCUCCUAUGGCCAGGGUUACCAAGGCGGCCAGUCCUAUGGCCAGGGUUCUCAGCCUCAAGGUGGCAGCUCCUAUGGACAGCAGGGUGGAUCUGCAGCUUAUUUUGGCAGCAGUGGUUGUGGACAAGGUGUCUCCUAUGACAGCAAUCCCUGCCACCAGGGUGGAUCACAGGGUGGUCAGGUAG
RNAcentral lists this long non-coding RNA (318 nucleotides) under Serinus canaria (Common canary). RNAcentral's name for it is "lncRNA (ENSSCAG00000012403.1)". The record is from RNAcentral. Lineage: Eukaryota; Metazoa; Chordata; Aves; Passeriformes; Fringillidae.